GCCUGGGUGGCUCAGUCGGUUGAGCGUCUGACUUGGGUUCAGGUCAUGAUCUCACGGUCUGUGAGUUCGAGCCCCACGUCAGGCU
This 85-nucleotide transfer RNA is filed under the name Felis catus (domestic cat). It matches the Rfam family "tRNA". From Rfam's summary of the family: Transfer RNA (tRNA) molecules are approximately 80 nucleotides in length. Their secondary structure includes four short double-helical elements and three loops (D, anti-codon, and T loops). RNAcentral also lists the same sequence under 2 other names. Lineage: Eukaryota; Metazoa; Chordata; Mammalia; Carnivora; Felidae. The record is from Rfam by way of RNAcentral.